AGUUUGAUCCUGGCUCAGGACGAACGCUGGCGGCGCGCCUAACACAUGCAAGUCGAACGAGAGAGAGGGAGCUUGCUUCCUCGAUCGAGUGGCGAACGGGUGAGUAACGCGUGAGGAACCUGCCUCAAAGAGGGGGACAACAGUUGGAAACGACUGCUAAUACCGCAUAAGCCCACGGCUCGGCAUCGAGCAGAGGGAAAAGGAGCAAUCCGCUUUGAGAUGGCCUCGGUUCGAAUAACUUAGUGGUGAGAGAACGGCCCCACAAAGGAAAAAAUCGGUACCCCGAAUUAAGAGGUUAAACGCCCACUUGGGGAUUGAGACACGGCCCAGAUUCCUUCGGGGAGGCACCAGUGGGGAAUAUUGCACAAUGGGGGAAACCCUGAUGCAGCGACCCCGCGUGGAGGAAGAAGGUCUUCGGAUUGUAAACUCCUGUUGUUGAGGAAGAUAAUGACGGUACUCAACAAGGAAGUGACGGCUAACUACGUGCCAGCAGCCGCGGUAAAACGUAGGUCACAAGCGUUGUCCGGAAUUACUGGGUGUAAAGGGAGCGCAGGCGGGCGAUCAAGUUGGAAGUGAAAUCCAUGGGCUCAACCCAUGAACUGCUUUCAAAACUGAUUGUCUUGAGUAGUGCAGAGGUAGGCGGAAUUCCCGGUGUAGCGGUGGAAUGCGUAGAUAUCGGGAGGAACACCAGUGGCGAAGGCGGCCUACUGGGCACCAACUGACGCUGAGGCUCGAAAGUGUGGGUAGCAAACAGGAUUAGAUACCCUGGUAGUCCACACCGUAAACGAUGAUUACUAGGUGUUGGAGGAUUGACCCCUUCAGUGCCGCAGUUAACACAAUAAGUAAUCCACCUGGGGAGUACGACCGCAAGGUUGAAACUCAAAGGAAUUGACGGGGGCCCGCACAAGCAGUGGAGUAUGUGGUUUAAUUCGACGCAACGCGAAGAACCUUACCAAGUCUUGACAUCCUGCGACGAUGCUAGAAAUAGUAUUUUCCUUCGGGACGCAGAGACAGGUGGUGCAUGGUUGUCGUCAGCUCGUGUCGUGAGAUGUUGGGUUAAGUCCCGCAACGAGCGCAACCCUUAUGGUCAGUUACUACGCAAGAGGACUCUGGCCAGACUGCCGUUGACAAAACGGAGGAAGGUGGGGAUGACGUCAAAUCAUCAUGCCCUUUAUGACUUGGGCUACACACGUACUACAAUGGCGUUAAACAAAGAGAAGCAAGACCGCGAGGUGGAGCAAAACUCAGAAACAACGUCCCAGUUCGGACUGCAGGCUGCAACUCGCCUGCACGAAGUCGGAAUUGCUAGUAAUCGCAGAUCAGCAUGCUGCGGUGAAUACGUUCCCGGGCCUUGCACACACCGCCCGUC
Molecule: ribosomal RNA, 1369 nt
Filed under: uncultured bacterium
Lineage: Bacteria
Description: bacterial SSU rRNA
Rfam family: Bacterial small subunit ribosomal RNA
Source: RNAcentral